Molecule: long non-coding RNA, 15421 nt
Organism: Dromaius novaehollandiae (emu)
Lineage: Eukaryota; Metazoa; Chordata; Aves; Casuariiformes; Dromaiidae
Exons: 3
Source: RefSeq, a predicted model, not a curated record
AAAAGUUUUUUUUGUAGAGAAGUUUUAAAGAAUUUUUACAGAUUUGUUCUAGAGAAACUACAGAAUUACAAUUGAAAUAACUUAGGAAGAAUAUAGAUCAAAGUGAAAAGACAUUUUAUAAAUUCAAAUAAUAAAAAGAUAUUAUUAUGCAAAAUAAAACUACGGAAAUAAAAGUGAACUCCAGAGAGCUGAGAAAUAUGUACCAGAGAGAUGUACAGAGAUAAAAGAUUGGCACGACUUACCUGAAUGAUCAGAGUUUAUCAGGGUCUUCAGUCAGGACAGCCCUUGCAUCUAGGAAAAACUAUACGUUAUCCCAACAGGUCUGGGACAGUUUCAGAUCAGCGCAGGGCUGUACUGGCCUGUAUUACGUAAAUUACAGCUCAUAGCUCUGAGCUUUCGCAUGCCUGUUAUCUUGCUGCUUAUUGCUUGAAGAGAAGCCAAUAUGACCUUAGGCUAUAGGGAAAAAUAGUCUGUGAAACCACACUGCCUCUCUGGUAAACAUAAUCCAGAAAGAUGACUCACAUCUGAAAUGUAAGGGUUUACUUCGCAACUUCUAAACAACCACUUAAUUUUACGUCUGAAUACCAGUUGGUGGAUUUCCAAACCAACACAUAGGCAGAGACAAUUAUUUGUACUUAAUUUAAUCAGAAGACUAUUUUUCACUAGUUGUUCUUCCCUUUACACACUAGUGAAGCUUUCAACAGAGCUUUGUGUAACAUUGCACCACACAGGAGAACAAUUACUGUUUGAACAAUUACUGUACCAUUACAGGACAGCCGAAUAUCUAAUUAUAACUUUGUGAAAUACAGUGACAAACAUGCUGAACACCAGAACAUAAUAACAUUCAGUGAACAUGCAUAAAUGAAGCCAAUGUCCUAAAAGAGUCACUGCUUAAGUAAGAAUGCUGUUCAGCAGAGCAUCUUUUUAUGACAUUAUUUCUGAGACUAGAGACCCAUGACAUUACAGUCAGUGCAUGAAAGCAGGUUUGUCUCUCUUCUUGUUUAUACAGACUCUUACAUUCACGAGUGUUAGUGAUCACUCAGAGCGGUGGCUCUAACUAUCCAUAACUAACACGACAUCCGUCUUUCAGAAGAGGUUUUGAAACUUACCAGACUGUUCAGUGAAGAGCCGCAAUUAACAGAAGGGAAAUAGCAACACAAAAAUCAGAAAAAAAAAAAAAAAAACCCUGUGGUGGAAAGCGUAGACUACCUGAAUCUUCCAUUACAUGACAGAGUUAUCUUGCUCUUACCAGAUAUUCUUGCUAUAGUCCUCUCACUUCCUUGAACCCUUACCGUUUCCUGCGUUCUUACUACGAGAAUGUAGAGGGCUGCUUUAUAUCAGAGAGGUUUCCACAGGCAGAAGGGCUAGAGACUGCGUAUGUUUCAACGGCUGUGGCUGUGUAUUUCUCAUAAAUCUGAUCUUGGGAUAGCAACUGUAGCUAUCUCAACAAUGAUGGGCCCAUGCGGUGAACAGCUAGAUAGUUCUGAUCCGCUCCUUCCCACUUCACGCAUACUUUGAACCCAGCCCAGAGACAUUUUAUACUGCCUGAUCCCCACUGGGUCCCUUCCACAGACCAAUCUUGUUUUUCUUUCCUGACUUUUCUAUAAUUAUAGAGCCUGGGAGUGGGAUGCCAGACCUCUGCUGGCCAAUUUCCUGUGCUGAAGAUAUACAGGCAGAGGCAGGGCUGCUCAUAUUGACUCCUGUGAGGUGACGGAGGGUAUUCAGUUCCUCAGUAAAUCUGUCACGGCACAGUUGAUGCUGAUCCCUGUGCAGUAGUGAAUUGAACUACAUGCCCAAAGCUCUUACCACCACAUGCCACCUUUCACAUUACUGUCCUGGAGGCUGCUCACCCUAAAGCAAGGACAGAUGAACAGGACAUGCAACAGCUCCUGAAAAGCCACACUUCACAGCCUGGUGCACUGUGUAACACAGACUGUACUGGAUCAGACCACGGCUCCUCUUAGUCCAGUCUUCUGCCUCCCAACUUAGCUGUAAGUUGAUGACUACAGAGUAGUAGGAAAGGGGCAAACAUAUCUACUACUCCCCCCCCAGUAAUCUCCCAGCCUUUGACUAUUUUCAGAGGAUUUCCUGAGCUGGUUGUAAUCUCUCUGUUUGGUAAACCCCCCGGCUCUCUUCCAUGAACUUGUCCAUUCUCCCCUUGAAUCCCUGAGAAAUUUGUGCAUGUUUUUGCAAAUACCCUUUGUGAGGAGUUCCACAGCACUAGUGCUGCUGCAUGAAGAAUAACCUUCUCUGAUUUGCUUCCAGCCUCGCUCUUACAAUCCCUAGCUCUUUGUAAGUACCAUUAUCCACCCUCUCUGCACUGCUCAUCAUUUUGCAGCCUUCUGUAAUCCCCUCCCUCCACCCCGUCACCUAUUUUCCAGGCCUGUUCAGUUGUCCUCCAUAUGAAACCUGUCCUAUGGCUGUGAUCAUCCUUGUUGUCAUUCUCUGAAUCUUUUCCAGGCCUAAUAUAUCUGCUGGAGUUCUGAUCUGGCGAUCAGAACUGCACGCAGUGUUCAAUGUGUGGCUGAACAUGGAUUUGUACCAUACCCUAAUUAUGUGUUCUAUUUGGGUCUCCAUUCAGUCUCUUAAUAAUUGCCAGAGUUGGAUUUGCCUUUUUUGACCACUGCUGAGCACUGAGCUGAUGUUUUCAUGCUAUCUAGCACAAGCCCAAAGACUCACUCCUGCUUGGUAAUGAUCAGCUCAGAGCUCAUUUUUAUAGAUGAAGCUAUCAUUUUUCCCAGUUACUUCACUUUACAGCUAUCUACAUCAAAUAUAAUUUGCUGUUGUAUCACCCUGUUAUUCAGUUUUGCUAAGUCCUUCCACAUUCCUUCACAAUCAGCUCUUACUACUGCAAUAUACUGAAGUAAGUGCUAGUUAUCUUUAAUGUGCUGGGCUGUAAACUGCAGUGGGUUGGGAGCUGCUGGAAGUCCUGUUUGGCAUUUCCCCUCCAGGGUUACUAACAUCCAGGAGAGUCAGGGCAGGAAACUCACCUCCUUUUAAUCUACUGUCAGAUGUGAGUGUGUCCCCUUAAUCUCAUAAACUGUAAUAAAAAUUUUUAUGCUCUCUGCAAUGGACAAAGCUGGUGAGGCCAAGUAGCCAAUUUUAAACCAGUUACUGUAACCCCUUUUUUUCCAAAGUAGUAUAACGGAUUUUGUAAUCACUGUAUAUACUAUAUCCCAGCAGAAAGAAAAAUUCUAUAACUUUGGCUGCAACAGUAAAUUAAUUGUGGACUUUGCUAGAAUAUCUCACUGGGUUGUUACUUUGCUUCAUUCUCUUAUCACAAACUGCACUGACAUGUAACACUCAAAAAACUGAGUUUGUUUGUAGUGUCUGUCACGUGAAGAAAAAGGAUUAGAAUAGCAUCUUUUUAAAAAGUGAUGAGCAAGCGUAUUCAGUUAGGUGAAGAUGGGAAGUCUUGUGGCUAGACACUGAAUUAGGAGCCACAGGACUGGGCUUCUGUUUCCAGUACUGAACAAAGCUUCUGCAAUGCAAUGCCCAACAUGCUCUCCCUCUGGUAUGUUAAACCAGCUUUCCAUGCGCACAAAAGAAUUCAUGAGGGAAAUAACAUGACUCCCUCUGGACCCUUCACUUACUGCCAAGAAACUUUAUUCUUAACAUGCAUAGGAUAAGAAACUCCUUUGCACUGCUUCCUUGCACAACAUUUACUGAAGGAUAUGAUUCAGGGAGAGCUUCUUACUGUGGACAGGAGAGCAUUCCUCAGCUUUCACAAUCACCAGACAUUAAAACACAGAUGACUAUACCAGUGCAGCCCUUUUUCUUGAAUGACAGUGAUAAUAUUUGGCACAUCUAUUGUGUUUCCAAUAGAAACCCCUCUUGUUACAUUACCCCAAAACAGAGUACAGCUUCCCCUUUCUCCUGAUGUGCCCACUUCCCACCAUGGUUGGCAGCGCAGGGCAGCUGCUUACAGCAAUGCUGGGUACUAGUGAGGAGGAAACAGCCCCCCAAGUGGCUUUUGGUACUAGACUGUCAAACCCUAUACAUCCGCAGAGCUGGGUAAAUGAUAACACAGACCCGAGAAUAAGGGCCAAAGUCACCAAAUGUAACCACUGAAGAAGUCUGCUUUCAGUGACUGAACCUGGCUCUUUUUUCAGGAACCAAAAAUGCUAUCUGUGAAGUAAACAGCUUAAGUUACUAUGCAGAAAAAAAUAUAAUCAUCACCUAGCCAGUCCUUUGGGACGAAAGAUCUUGAAAGUGUAAAUGAGAUGGAACUGGCAUGUCUCUUGCCUGGAAUAUUUGAAAGCAUUUGUUGGUAGCAGGUAUAAUCAUGUACUGCUAGCCAGACCGUGGAGCCCAACCGAUAGCCACUGACUUGCCAGCUGUGAGAUCUUUAUCAUUCCUUCUGGCUAAGGGAAAAGCAGGCGAUGACUUGGGACAACUGCCAGCCAUUAGGAGAGACCACUUAUGCGUAUGGUUGAUUUUAUAGCCAAGGAGUACUCUGUUUCCUAAGUACAGAGCACUGAUUACAGCCAACAUGUUCACCUCAGCUUUGUGACUGUGUUCUCAGGAAAGUGGCAUAACACUUCAUGGCAACACGAGACCACCAAGAGGAACUGUAAAAGCAAAUGCAGCAAAUAAGGUGAAUGGUGCUGAACUGUUGGGGGGGGAAAGCAAUUUUAGUACAAUGUUGACCACUAAUACUGCAAAGUCAUUUUUGCAGCUAAGCAAUGUGAGCAGGUGGAGCAGUUGUGCAUGUAUGGAUUAUGCAGGUCCCUUUGGUAUUCCACAACAGAAGCAAGUACGAGGAAAAAGAGACUUGCAGCUAAAUCACUAAGGACUGAAAAGGUAAGUUCAGGUCCUGCCAGAACUUUGACUUGCAAUCUGACAGAUUACCUACAUUCCAAGUUGAAGAAUUUCAGCUUUUUGCAUUUCAGCUGUGAGCAUGCUAAAUAAUGUUUUUGUCUCAUUUCAUCCAUCAGAUUUCUCAGUUUUAUCCAGUUUCCAUAAGAAUCAUUUGAAUUCCUCAAAAUUACGCCCCCCCCCCCAAUUUUGCUGUCUCACUUGUAAGUGUGUGACAAGGCUGUCCACUUCAGAGGGGUCUUGUAAAGGUGAUGUUAACAACAGCUGUAAAGUGCCCUGAGUGGUGAAGAGUCUCAGAUGAAAAGCAGUAUGGCUGUGCAAAGCAUUAUGAAGUCUUUGUAAAUUAAGACAGUAACAAGACAGGUACAUAUUUUUUGUUAGCAUGUGAGAUUCAGUAUCUGUGCUAAACAUAGCAUUUCCAUGCUAAUAAUCUCCACCAGCUGCUAUAGCUACAGAUUGGUCCUUCAGUUCAUUUCAAAGCACGUGUUUUCCUCCAGUUCUUGGACUCCUUCACCUCUGUAGCCACCAGGAUUUCUUCAACGCAGUUAUUAAACAGCUCACACAUACCUGCCCCACCUUCCAGUACGUUCAUCUGCAUUCCUUACCCUGUUCCAAGACAUGCUUUGUUCAUGUAUUUGCAUUUUCAGAGCUCACGUUUUCUGUCUUACUUAUUCCUGUGGGACCAAGUAAUCCUAUGAAGUGUUGCUGAGUUACAGUCAUGAUGAAUUUAGCCCACAGUCUUGAAAGCCAAGUGAUCCUGUCUUUGCAAGAACAGAUAGAGGGUACAUGAUCUUAUAGCUUAAUCAGUACUUUUUGGAAGUAUUUUACAACUUCCUUAAAAAAUUAAGUGCUGGAAAUAUUUCUAGUGAUAACCUUUUGACCUUACCGAACACAUAACAACCUUCACUAUAUGCGUUUUUGUUUGUUCUGAGAUCCGUGACCAAAAUUUGCAAGCUUUCUCCCAGCUUCUUCUCAGUUUAUAAAGCUUUUCCUAAUCUCCUGUGUUUACUAAAUCUCCAAUUUCCAAAUGAUGUUAAUCUUUCAAGCCCUCUAAAUUUCUCUGACAGUGACAGCUCUGUCUUCCAGUUGAUGCAGUACUUAGUAGGUCUGAUGGAACAAAACCCGAGGUCAGAACAGAUGACCUUGGAGGCUAUUCUGAGUCUGGACCUUGGCAUAAACCAGCUGAAAAAUGAUCCCUCCUUUCCCCCUUCUUGUUCUGCUUGUGCAGUGCAGCAAAUCAAAACCUCAGAUCUGCUUAACUCCUAUCACUGCUUGAUUUGCAGUCUGGAAAAAAAAAUCAAGCUCCUCAUUUCCAUACAGCAAGUGGGAACCAGUAGUGGUCGGCAACUUUCUAGUCUUGGCCAAGGGCAAAGGAAAUAAUCUAGCACUGCUUUGAAAUACAAAUCUGUUUGCUUCUUACUGGGGCAAUGGAAAGAUCUGAGUCCUUGACUAAUAUUAACACAUUCAGCUGAGGCUGAUCUCAUUUCCCAUUUUUCUGUUCUCAUCUCAAAUUUUAUGCCUUAAUUUUUAGUUGAAAUCUUUUGUUUUUAAGGUCUACUUGGCAUCAACUCCUUCUCAGUGCUGUUCAUUCUUUCCAUUAAUUACACUUCUUAGCUGCUUACUUAACAUAUUACCUAAUUAUGAUUAAAAUGCAAACAAUAUUCUGUUCUGAAAAUAUCUAAGAAGUGAUAUCUCAAGAAGAGUUUGUUAGAUUUUGUAUGGUAGAGAAAGUGUCCCCAGGUUCUGGGUAGGAAAGUUGUUCUGCUGAUUACCCUCAUUUUCUUCUAGUCACCUUUCUGCAAAUGUCGGUCCUGCUCAGCACUUCCAGUGUGACGUGAGGAUCAUGACAGAUGGAGGCAUAAAGUUUGAGAAGUUUGUUUAUGAUAAAAACAUCCUUAAAAUGACAAAGUUGAUUAGGACAAUCAGAGCGGUUAAGAUACGAUGACACUGCAUGAAUAUUGAAUGACACUGGGAAAAUGCUGUGGUUUAAUGCGAGUCCACUCUAAACCAGGAGGUAAAGAGGUUGCUGACAGAUCCAUCUCAGAACCUUUGCAAAAGAGUUUCAUUUAGAAGAAAUGCCUGGGAAGAGAAGUGAAGAUAAACAGCAGGAACCAGAGGCUGGCUGUUUUGGCGGACAAGCUCAUGUUGUCACCCACGUGAAGGUUUGCAAUCCUGCUGAAUGAUAGGUGCUCUACAAGCCUUCUUGAGAGGAUGGAAGGAUUUAGGGAAUGAUAUAGUAGUGAGAGAGGUUUUCUCCUCCGGGACAGAUCCCAACCCAUACUUGCUUUGAGGAUGUGGAUUUCUUUUGUUGAUUCAUCGCAAUACUGUUUUGAUUUAGGAAGCUGACACACCUUGAGAUGUGGAUCACUUGUCUGAUUACAGCAGAAACUCUUCUGACUAAACACCACUGCAAAGCUUUCCUGUUUUCUCAGUUUUAUUUUCUAUAUUGAGCUUUGCAGUCUUUUAUCCAUGCUAUACUGGCAUACAUAAAACUGCACUUUAAAAGUGGCCAGUCUGUUUUUAUUGAGAAAAAAAAAUGCCUUCUGAUGUUUUUGUUAGCAUCAGUCCCCAGAAUACAAUUCCUAACACUGGGAACAUGUUCCCCAUAAUGUGCCAGACAAAAGUUCAUGGCUUUGUCUUAUUGAAGUCUUGAUUAUUCAUGAAGUUCCCAAUUAGUCACUCCACACCCUUGAAUUAUUUCUGACACAUGUAAAAUGCCUUCUGCUGAAUUCCUACUCCAAAGAGCCUCUUGCAUGACCGGUUUAUCAGUGAAUGCUAGCAGACUCAUGAUUUACAAUGCUUCAUCAUCACGGUAUGUGCAAUUCUAAACAUGACGGCUAGGGAAACCAGACCCACCUAUUUUUCUUCUAUAAGCUCACAGCCUCAAAAACCUCCCAGCAGCCACACAAGAGGAGUUCAUCCAGGGAAGGUAUGUGUGCUGAGACCCUAUAUUACCCUGUGGAUCUCAACAUGUCUAUGAAGAUGAAAGAAAAUGGAUCAGCUGGAGGUAUAUCAAUUCACAUGCAGGGAAGAUAAGGAGAUCAAAAUAUUAAAUUGAAGAAUCAUUUCUGUCACUUUUCACUUUCUUGCUUUCCCUUUGCUGCUAAAAAAUGUGCUUACCACUGGCUAAAUACUCAGCUGUGAUGUAAGUAAUGGAUGUUAACUGUCUGUGUGUGAAAAGUGGAGACAUUUUCCUUUGUGAGCUAAAACUCAGCACUGGUCCCUUGCCCUGCCCAUGUUGACCUUGCCUCCUUUAAAAAAAAAAAAAAACCUCUCUGCUGUGUUUGCCCACAAACACAGUUAGUACACAUCACUCAAUAAACAGUUAAGGCAAAAAUCUUCUGCCAAUGCCUACAGAAGACAGGCAUAGGCCAUUUCCCAAAGGUUCUUCAGCCUUUUCCUGAAAUAAAAGAUCUCUAGACUGGCCCUCAGGGAUUUUCACACAUCUUCUUUCUUCCACAAAGAAAAGCUCUUUUAGGGGCUCCAACAAUGAGGGGAACCUUCCCCAAAGGAGAACCUCCUCCAAAGCAAGCAGGUAAUUUGUAAUAAGGAUGCUUUGAGGGGUACCAACAACUCCUCCUUGUGACCUCAUGCUGCGCUCAGUUGCAGCUCCAUUUUGCACCAGCUUCAUUAUGCAGCAAGAACAUAUACACAGUAAUUCAACUGCUAGCUUUGAAUUAGUCCUAGUACCGAGUGGAUUAGUGUUGAUGUGGUCAGAUGUAAUCACUGUCCUGUACGUGACAGUGUAUGUGUCUCUUUAGAAAUGGGGUGCUUUCUCAUUAGAGAGGAGCUCUGUUGAGUAGAUGAGUACUCACCACAGGAAAAGACUGUGUAGAAAUCUCUGCAGUCAGUGAAAGGGACUGAUGCACUUCCAUGGGAGGCUGCACCCAUAUUCCCUAGUAGGUGGCUAAUUCUGGCAUAAUGCAAGACUGAAGACAUUAGCUCUGCAGUGUGAGAUUUUCGGCUGCGACUCCAUGUGUUUCUCCUAUGAAAAUCUCUGUCAUUGCAAAACAAAACAACAGCCCCCAAAAUAACGUUGAACAGUCAUUUUAGCAAUUGUGAUCAAUUAUUCAUUUGACUGAUUAAAAACAAAAUCUCAUUAGACUUUACAGUUGUGAAUUUUGUAUUUCCAGUGGUAAAACUCCCUCCUCCUUUUAUUCACAGAUGGCCACAAUGAGUGGUUUGGUUGUUUUUUUUUUUUUUGCUCAAUAAUUAAUCAUUUUUGUGUCAUGUCUGACUUGCUUUAGGGAUUUACAUUGUGUUUCUCUCUUAAGGAUCACUGUGAUUGAGACACAAAUCUCUGUGCAUCUGGGCAUAUGUGAAAAAUUUCAAGAUCUGUGCAGAUGACUAAGUAUGUUUUUUAACAUGCAUUUUACCACCUUAAAGGCAUCUACACAGGACAGUAGUAAGAGCUGAUCUGUCAUCUCUCCAUCUUGUCACUAGAUCCACUGGAGUCUGACAGCUGAAUAGAGACUAUAAUUAAAAGUAUCAGUUUUCGUCAGACUUUUCUCAUAUUCCCUAGCUAAUUUAGUUUUAUGCAUUUCAAGAAGCUUCAGUGGGAACAGGACCAACUCUUUUUAUUUUCCCCCUAAACUCUAUGCCUCCUUUUCUAAGAAAGAGGAGUUAUUCUCAGAUUUCCUGCAGUAAUAACCCUUUACAUUCUUUUGGGGGUCAGCAUAAUUACAGUGUUACACAGAGGAGUGUCUUGGUUUGCACUGACUCCUUGGGAGAACAGCCCCAGGCAGUUUGAGGCUGGGAGCAGCUGUGCAAAGGUUCUUGUAGGAGUAGUCAGGUAUUAGACUCCCCACCCUCAUGAAGGUUACAGAGGAUAAUGCCACAAGUUUCACAGGAAUAAAGAGCCUUUUGCUUGCUCUUCUAAGAAGGAGCUAUGUUAGAAGGAGCAAACAAAAACUGGACUUGAUUUCAUAUCCUUCUACUCCCACAGCUAUCCUCACUGGAGUCAGCAACACUGCUCAUGUGAACAUAUGAUGUGCUUUAUAUCCAGACUAACUGGAGGAAGGAAACUGAUUUAAAGAAAAUCCAGAAUAAGAUAUUGUUUCUACUGGAAAAAGUAUUCCGGGGGCACAUCAUCACCUACCUGUAACAACACAUACUAAGGCAGAUCCCAUCGCCCCCAAGCUCAGCCCAGCUGCGAGGGGGAUGGUGGCUGCCACAGUGUUUCUCCCUGCCCGGAGGCACACAGCCCUGCUACAAGAGGAAUGGUGUGUCACUACUGUUCGCUCAUGGAAAAGGUAGUGCAACAAACCUGGUCUUCCCAGGCGUCUCUGGGACAGGAGCCUCGGGGCCUACCUCCUCAUCUGGGCAUGGACAGUAGAGAGCUGUCUCUGGCACGUUUUUUGUUAGCAUCUUACAUAUUACAAUUAUAAAAUUAAUUAUAAUAAUUAAUCAGAAUUAAUAGGAUUACUCAUGUAUCUUAAAAAAUAUUUCAGCUGAAGCUCAUUUAACUUACUCUACCUCUAUGGUAUAAGAGAUUCCAUCAGUGAGUCAGCACCUAAGUCCCCCCCCACCCUAAAUGCCAUUGAAGGUACCCAUUAAACACACUAGGAACCUCAGAACCCUCCUAUGAACUACCUACACUGGAGACGACUAUAAUUAAGCGAGCUAACGUCAAGUAAGUUCUACCUUUCAAGUCCAGUUUGUGGUGUCUGAGUAUCUAAUGCUAUAGGAGAAAACAAGGAUAUAUGAUUAGAGAUUAAUGCCAAAUUCCCACGGUCCUAGAGUGUAACAGCAAUUAUUCUAUAUGGACAGAUUUUGUUCCUUCCAUGUAUUGCCUGUGCAUAGACGAAUACUCUUCAGAAACAUAUUUCCUGCCAAAACAGAAUAAAGGGAUAUGUCAGCUUCAGAAAUAUUCCCUUUGCAACUGGGAUGCCACAGAUUUGCUUCUGAGGCCAGCCUGAGCUGGGAUAGGGAGUGUGGACAGGGCUGGUUUCAAACAAGACAGCACAUGCAUUUUAUAUACUCAGGAGAUUGUUUACUGUCAGACUUCUAUGUGGAAGUAACAUCAGGAAUGAAUGCUUUUGCAAAGGGAAUUCAUACUGUGGCUCAUACAGGGGCUUCCACUGCUAUAUGGAAGGAGCUAUGUAGCCAGAUAACUAGACUCUCAGAGAUUUAGGAGAAUUUUUCCCACUAGCUCACCCGGAUCCGGUGGUGGUCUCUGGAAACUCUAUUGCCCAUCAUGCUUGUUCCUCUGAGGUGUCCUUUGCAGGAACUAAUGAGGUAGCCAGGUUUUCUAUUCUUGGUCCCUUCUAGCAGGUCUGCCUGUGGAAUGACGGACUCUAGGCCACCCUUAGGAAGCCAUUUUUAGUGUCAAGGUUAGAGGAGCUUUUUAUUCUUGAUGCAACAGUGGUAACUCGCAAGACCACUUGCUGUUGAUUUCUGCACCGCAUGAUGCAGUACAAAUGCUAAGUAUAAUGUACAAUCAUAAAGUGACGUAAAUAACAGCGCAUCUGCCAACGUCUGCAUAUAUGUGAGGUCAGUGAGUUUACAUUCCCUCAGGUCAGAAAACAGAACAAGUGUGAUCUCUCAUCCUCAUGCCAGUUUCUCCACAUUACAAAGUCACAACAAGAUGUGGCGACACAUUGUUUCUGCUCCAGGGAGGAUGGGACUGAAGGCUUAUCCAUACCGCUCAGAAAAACAAACUAGAAGGAACUAACAUGCAGAAGCAAUCUCAAGCACAGUUGGGGUUGGAAGGCAGCUCUGGAGAUCUUCUGGUUCAAACCCCUGCUCAAGAGCAGAUUGCCCAGGACUGUGUCCAGUCAAGUUUGGAAUAUCUCCAAGGAUGGAGAUUCCACAACUGCUCUGGACAACCUGUCCCAGUGUUCUACCACCCUCACAGGAAAAAAGUGUUUUCUUAUGUCCAUACAGAAUUUCCUAUGAUUCAGUUUGUGCCCAUUGCCUCUCAUCCUGUCACUGGGCACCACUGAGAAGAGCCUGGCUCCGUCUUCUUCGCACCCUCCCAUCAGGUCUCAGGAACCUCUCCCAGUCACCAUGACCUUUCAGACAUAAUCGAGAGUGGCCUCACAACGACACUGGCCAGCUCCCUCAGCACUUGCAGCUGCAUCCCAUCAGGGCCCAUGGACUUGUGUGUGUUGUGUGUGCUGAAGUGUUCCCUAGCCUGAUCCUCCUCCACCAAGGGUGAGUGUUCAUUGCUCCAGACUUCCCCUCUGGUCACAGGGGCCUGGGCUUCCUGAGGGCUGGUCCUUCCACUGGAGACUCAGGCAAGGAAGGCACUCAGUGUCUCUGGCUCUUCUCUGUCCCUUGUAACCAGGGCCCCUGCCCCAUUUAGCAGUGUGCCCACAUUUUCCCGAGCCUUCCAUUUGCUGUUUAUGUACUUGUAGAAGCCUUUCUUGUUGCCUUUCAUGUCCCCGGCCAGUUUGAAUUCCAGGUAGGCCUUAGCUCUUCUAACUCCAUCCCCACAUGCUCGGACAGUGUCCUUAUAUUCCUGCUGGGCUACCUGUCCCUGAUUCCACCUCUUGCACACUUCCUUUUUAUGGUCAGGAGCUCCUUCUUCAUCCACACAGGCAUCCUGCCGCCUUUGCUUGAUUUCCUGCUGCUUGGAACGGACCGUUCUUGAGCUUGGAGGAGCUUUAUCCUUGAGCAUCAGCCAGCUUUCUUGGACCCCUUUUCUCUCCAGGGCUGUAUCCCACAGGAUUCUUCUGGGCAGGUCCCUGAACAGGUCAGAGUCCACUCUCCUGAAGUCCAGGGCUGUGAUUCUCCUUUUUGCCUUGCUUCUUCCUCACGGGAUUCUGAACUCCACCAUCUUGUGGGUGCUGCAGCCAACGCUGCCCCCAGCUUUCGCAUCUCUGACCAGUCCUUCCUUGUUUGUAAGUAUGAGGUCCAGCAGAACAAGCUUCCUCAUCAGCUUCUUGAUCACCUGUAUUAGGAAGCUGUCAUCAAAGCAUUCCAGAAACCUCCUGAAUUGCUUGUGCCUUUCUGUGCCAUUCUUCCAGCAGAUAUCACGGUGGUUAAAGUCCCCCGUGAAGUCCCCCCAUGUGAAUGUGAAGCUUCUUCCAGUUGUCUGAAGAAAGGCUCAUCCACUUCUUCCUGACCAGGUGGCCUAUAGCAAACACAGAUACAGUGGAGAACAAGCAUCCUGGUUUUCCCACAGCAUGAAAUAGCAUAUUUCAUAGUACAAACCUCCUAAGGAACCUUCAUUGCUUGGUCUUUACUGUAUUUUUUACCAUAGUCAGUCAUGCUCCUCAGUAAAGGCACACCUUAUUUAGCAGGGAUUGCAAGGGCUAAGAGACAUUUGUUUGGUGUUUGCCUGCCUGCAUGGGAAAAGAGGUCUACCACUCUAAAGUGAUAUAUAUAACCUAGUGUCCAGUUCUGAUGAUCAGAGAGGGAGAUGAAAGUGCAACAGCAGAAGGCAAUUAUGCAAAACUUCCACAUGGGAAUUGCAUUUUCCUAUUCCCCAGCUGUUAUUCUGUGUGGUAAUCUAUUAAUUCUUUAACUAAACUCUUUGGGUUAUUUUUCUAACCCUUACUGAUGUCACUCUUAAUAUUCUUGUUAUUCUUAUAAAUACACAAUCCCCUUUCUGAAGAAAUUUUAGCCAUCCAGAUAACAUGCACUAUGACUUCCAAAUCAGUACAGUAAAUUAACCAACAGAAUUGAAAAUAAAAUUAAACUUUGGAUGAAAGCUAAAUUAUAUACCCUUAAGGCUUAUAAAUUUGUUGUGGUCCAGUUUAUAAAUGCAUGUCCCCAAGAUGAAUAUCAUUCUGAUGGUUUCUAUAUUUUUCUUAGAAUUAGACAACUUGGGAGGCAUACAUUUGUAUGCAGAACAAAGUUAUCGUUAUAAAGACAUGUUCUGCAUAAAGGAAAAAACAGUGUAUCACAGAGGUUUACAUCAAAGACAGAAAUUGCUGAAAGUUGGUAUGGGCAAGUCAUACCUUUGAAUUUUAUUCACUUUGGCAACACCUAAAAACACAGACAUUAUCUUGCCCACCUCUGCUCUCUGUAGACAAGCUUGCUGCAACGUUACCUAUCCAGAGUGCCAAGAGCCCUACAGCUAGCUCUCAGUCUGGCCACGGUAUAUCCUGCUCGGAGACACAGCAAACCGGCAAGCUGAUGCUGGCAUGGAGCUUGUCCCCAGCAGUGGGCUCCGCAACGGGACCGUAUGGAUAGCUGUGCUACAUUAUAGAUAAUGUAAUAGACAGGGGAGAAAUUUUUCUGAUGCAAGCACAAUAUAAGGCCGUCAUAUACAUGGAUACAUUGGAGGCAAGAGUAGGCAACAGACAAGGAGGGGCUGCAACGCUAGCACUAGAAGGACUCUGAGCUGUAAUAUCUACCUAAAAUUCACAGCACUGAGCAACGUCAUAAAGGUCUGUAUGGUCUUGAUCCUAGAAAACAGGAGUGCACUCAUUCUCCUCCAAUUCAUUAGGCCUUUAAGUACAAAUAUUUUGGACUCUCCUUAAGCAUGCCACAUGUGAAAGUUGAAGUUAUUGUUGGUGAACAGUGAAUAUGCAUAUGACCCCCAUUUGGAUCAUGUUUCACUGUGAAAGGACUGUCUUCAUGCAGACUGCCAACGAUCGUAUGUUUGGAACCUGUUUUCCAUGCUCAGUAAAAAAGUUUCCUACUUCUUUUUUCGAAAGCUACAGAGCCCUAAUAUACUUGCUAGAUCUGGGCCCAGCCCUGUAAAUCUUGCUCCAGUGAAUAAGCCUUACUAAUGACAUGGCGAUUUUCAUGUCAUGAGAAAAAGCUUUUAUGGAAUCAUGAUCUGUAAAUACUAAUGAAAAGCCAGUCCAGCUUGUGCUUAGAUAAAGCAGCAAUGCAUGCAUUAUAAUCAUUUUAUCAUUUUUAUAGUCAAACUCUAACCACCAAAAAAUAACCAUACAUAUAAUGGAUAAUACACAAAUGAAGAAGUCAUUUUCUAAAGACCUGCUUGGAUAACAUAAUUAUUCUUUUCAAUGCAUUAAACUUGAAUAGGGAUCUGGGAUCAGCAAGAUAAAAAUGAUGGCAAUACUAAAUUUAAAGUGUUUUCCAGACAACGAACUGAGGAAGUGUCUAGAGAGGUUUUACGGCAAACCUGAUAAAUCUUUCCGCAUUUUUUAAUGCUGAAUAUUAGUUAUUUCAUAAUCUACAGUGCUUACUUAGCAACUGCUACAGGCUAUUGAAUAAACUCUCAUGGCAACAUACAGUUUUUGCCAUAGGCCAGAAUUGUGAAACUACAUUUGGAUCAUCUGUCAUCCUGAAUCUGCCUAUGUUGUUGUUACUUUAUACAUGCACAUCUCGAGAUGAUUAACAGUCCUGAAUAUUCAUCAACCUUAUUUCAAAGAUAGGGUAACUGUGAUGUAAUACAGUUAAGACAUUUGCUUGAUAUUACAUGAAUUAGCAUCCAUAUAAAGAGUGGAACACAUUUCCUUAUUUUUUGUGCCAUUCAUAAUCUGCUGGACAAAAGUGCCAAAAAAUAACUCUCACUAUUAUUCACUAAGUUUCAAUAGACUAGUGUAACUGGAUAUUAAAGUAAUAAUGGCUAAAUGUGGCCAUCACCAGAAACUGAAUAAAGUUCAUGUGCACAUCUUCUGUUUUGGGGAAAAAAGUGAUGUUUUCUAUCUUCAUAAUGUGAUUAAAAAAAUACCUGCUACCA